RNAcentral lists this ribosomal RNA (396 nucleotides) under Entrophospora infrequens. RNAcentral describes it as "LSU rRNA". It matches the Rfam family "Eukaryotic large subunit ribosomal RNA", at positions 358 to 668 of the family's 3401-position model. Lineage: Eukaryota; Fungi; Glomeromycota; Glomeromycetes; Entrophosporales; Entrophosporaceae. The record is from RNAcentral.
GGAAAGAUGAAAAGAACUUUGAAAAGAGAGUUAAAUAGUACGUGAAAUUGUUGAAAGGGAAACGAUUGAAGUCAGUCAUGCCAGCGGGAAUCAACUUAAAGGAAACUCUAGGUGCACUUCUUUGCUUGGCAGGUUAGUGUCGAUUUUGGAUGUCGUAAAAUGACUGGGGGAAGGUAGCUCCUUUGGGAGUGUUAUAGCCCUUGGUAGAUGUGAUGUCUGGAAUCGAGGAUUGCAACGGAUACCCUUUAGGGCUAGUCACCUGAUCUCUAAUUAGUGCUAGAUUACGGACAGCAUGCUGACCGUGAUUUAAUUAUUGGUUAAAAGGUUAGAGUGCACAUAAAUUCGUUAAGGACACUGACGUAAUGGCUUUAAACGACCGUCUUGAAACACGGACCA